This 773-nucleotide ribosomal RNA is filed under the name Juxtiphoma eupyrena. RNAcentral's name for it is "partial large subunit ribosomal RNA". It matches the Rfam family "Eukaryotic large subunit ribosomal RNA", at positions 69 to 860 of the family's 3401-position model. Lineage: Eukaryota; Fungi; Ascomycota; Dothideomycetes; Pleosporales; Didymellaceae. The record is from RNAcentral.
CAGGGAUUGCCCUAGUAACGGCGAGUGAAGCGGCAACAGCUCAAAUUUGAAAUCUGGCGUCUUUGGCGUCCGAGUUGUAAUUUGCAGAGGGCGCUUUGGCAUUGGCAGCGGUCCAAGUUCCUUGGAACAGGACGUCACAGAGGGUGAGAAUCCCGUACGUGGUCGCUAGCCUUUACCGUGUAAAGCCCCUUCGACGAGUCGAGUUGUUUGGGAAUGCAGCUCUAAAUGGGAGGUAAAUUUCUUCUAAAGCUAAAUACUGGCCAGAGACCGAUAGCGCACAAGUAGAGUGAUCGAAAGAUGAAAAGCACUUUGGAAAGAGAGUUAAAAAGCACGUGAAAUUGUUGAAAGGGAAGCGCUUGCAGCCAGACUUGCCUGUAGUUGCUCAUCCGGGUUUUUACCCGGUGCACUCUUCUAUAGGCAGGCCAGCAUCAGUUUGGGCGGUUGGAUAAAGGUCUCUGUCAUGUACCUCUCUUCGGGGAGAACUUAUAGGGGAGACGACAUGCAACCAGCCUGGACUGAGGUCCGCGCAUCUGCUAGGAUGCUGGCGUAAUGGCUGUAAGCGGCCCGUCUUGAAACACGGACCAAGGAGUCUAACAUCUAUGCGAGUGUUUGGGUGUCAAGCCCGAGCGCGUAAUGAAAGUGAACGGAGGUGGGAACCCCUCGGGGUGCACCAUCGACCGAUCCUGAUGUCUUCGGAUGGAUUUGAGUAAGAGCAUAGCUGUUGGGACCCGAAAGAUGGUGAACUAUGCUUGAAUAGGGUGAAGCCAGAGGAA